GGACCCGCACAAGUAGUGGAGCAUGUGGUUUAAUUCGAAGAUACGCGCAGAACCUUACCAACCCUUGAAAUCUAGCGAAGUUCACAGAGAUGAGAAUGUGCCUUCGGGAACGCUAUGACAGGUGUUGCAUGGCUGUCGUCAGCUCGUGUCGUGAGAUGUAUGGUUAAGUCCAGUAACGAGCGCAACCCCUGUUGUUAGUUGCCAUCGAGUCAUGUCGGGAACUCUAACAAGACUGCCGGUGCAAACCGUGAGGAAGGUGGGGAUGACGUCAAAUCAUCACGGCCCUUACGUCCUGGGCUACACACGUGCUACAAUGGCCGGUACAGAGAGCAGCCACUACGCGAGUAGGCGC
Molecule: ribosomal RNA, 352 nt
Filed under: uncultured bacterium
Lineage: Bacteria
Description: bacterial SSU rRNA
Rfam family: Bacterial small subunit ribosomal RNA
Source: RNAcentral